UAUUCGCGGCGUAGGGUACAGAGGUUAAGAUGUUCUAUCUUUCAGACCUUUAUUUCACUUUUAGUGAUCAGCCAAAUAAUGGCGCCCCGGCCUCCACACACGGCCGGGGCUUUUUUUU
Molecule: non-coding RNA, 118 nt
Filed under: Shewanella mangrovi
Lineage: Bacteria; Pseudomonadati; Pseudomonadota; Gammaproteobacteria; Alteromonadales; Shewanellaceae
Source: RNAcentral